GGGGUUGUGGCUCAGCAGUAGAGCACUCGCCUCUUACGUGUGAGAACCUGGGUUCGAUCCUCAGCACCA
Non-coding RNA from Ictidomys tridecemlineatus (thirteen-lined ground squirrel), 69 nucleotides. The record is from Rfam. Lineage: Eukaryota; Metazoa; Chordata; Mammalia; Rodentia; Sciuridae.